UUGCUAUGAUGAGUACCAAAAUGUUGCGAAAGUUAGUGUGAUACUUGAUGAAAUUUCAUCCUGAGCGGUUACCUGAGCAA
This is a non-coding RNA of Jatropha curcas, 80 nucleotides long. The record is from Rfam. NCBI's taxonomy places the organism in Eukaryota, Viridiplantae, Streptophyta, Magnoliopsida, Malpighiales, Euphorbiaceae.